CUGCUUCAACAGCACAAAUACUAUAAUUGGAGCAGAGAAGAUUAACAUGAAUCCCACACAAGGAUGACACUAAUUUGUACAGUUUUCCAUAUUAAA
RNAcentral lists this small nuclear RNA (96 nucleotides) under Chinchilla lanigera (long-tailed chinchilla). The record is from RNAcentral. Lineage: Eukaryota; Metazoa; Chordata; Mammalia; Rodentia; Chinchillidae.